Molecule: ribosomal RNA, 493 nt
Filed under: uncultured bacterium
Lineage: Bacteria
Description: partial 16S ribosomal RNA
Rfam family: Bacterial small subunit ribosomal RNA
Source: RNAcentral
AUUGAACGCUGGCGGCAUGCCUUACACAUGCAAGUCGAACGGUAACAGGUUAAGCUGACGAGUGGCGAACGGGUGAGUAAUGUAUCGGAACGUGCCCAGUCGUGGGGGGUAACUGCUCGAAAGAGCAGCUAAUACCGCAUACGACCUGAGGGUGAAAGCGGGGGAUCGCAAGACCUCGCGCGAUUGGAGCGGCCGAUAUCAGAUUAGCUAGUUGGCGGGGUAAAAGCCCACCAAGGCAACGAUCUGUAGCUGGUCUGAGAGGACGACCAGCCACACUGGGACUGAGACACGGCCCAGACUCCUACGGGAGGCAGCAGUGGGGAAUUUUGGACAAUGGACGCAAGUCUGAUCCAGCCAUGCCGCGUGCGGGAAGAAGGCCUUCGGGUUGUAAACCGCUUUUGUCAGGGAAGAAAAGGUUCUGGUUAAUACCUGGGACUCAUGACGGUACCUGAAGAAUAAGCACCGGCUAACUACGUGCCAGCCGCCGUAACAC